This 468-nucleotide ribosomal RNA is filed under the name uncultured bacterium. RNAcentral describes it as "partial 16S ribosomal RNA". It matches the Rfam family "Bacterial small subunit ribosomal RNA", at positions 28 to 507 of the family's 1533-position model. The record is from RNAcentral.
GACGAACGCUGGCGGCGUGCUUAACACAUGCAAGUCGAACGGAAAGGCCCUGCUUUUGUGGGGUGCUCGAGUGGCGAACGGGUGAGUAACACGUGAGUAACCUGCCCUUGACUUUGGGAUAACUUCAGGAAACUGGGGCUAAUACCGGAUAGGAGCUCCUGCUGCAUGGUGGGGGUUGGAAAGUUUCGGCGGUUGGGGAUGAACUCGCGGCUUAUCAGCUUGUUGGUGGGGUAAUGGCUUACCAAGGCUUUGACGGGUAGCCGGCCUGAGAGGGUGACCGGCCACAUUGGGACUGAGAUACGGCCCAGACUCCUACGGGAGGCAGCAGUGGGGAAUAUUGCACAAUGGGCGGAAGCCUGAUGCAGCAACGCCGCGUGCGGGAUGACGGCCUUCGGGUUGUAAACCGCUUUCGCCUGUGACGAAGCGUGAGUGACGGUAAUGGGUAAAGAAGCACCGGCUAACUACGUG